Zophobas morio is the source of this 543-nucleotide long non-coding RNA. RefSeq lists it as uncharacterized. The transcript has 6 exons. The record is from RefSeq and is a predicted model, not a curated record. Lineage: Eukaryota; Metazoa; Arthropoda; Insecta; Coleoptera; Tenebrionidae.
AUAAACUAUAAAAUAUAUUUUUUAUACUAGUCAAUUCCUUAUAUUACCGCCUUAUCAAAAGUGUGGCUUUGGAAGAAAACUGCUGCAGGGCAUCUAUGACGACUGCCUAUCCAAUAAGGAAGUUGUUGAGGUUACAGUUGAAGAUGCAUCACUUGAAUUUCAAAACCUUCGCGAUCUAGUUGAUUUGAUAAAUUUUGAUAGGCAGUGCAAAGAUAUCUCCAUCCCUUUAAAAUUUACUGGUGAAUUUAUGAAAGCCGUUCAAAGGAAGUUAAAAAUAAAUAAAAAUCAAAUAAGAAAAAUAUACGAUAUUAUCAAACUGAAGGAAACUAAUCGAAGCGAUAAAGAAUGCUAUAAAAAUUAUCGAUUGAUGGUUAAAAGAAAGAUUUAUUAUAAUUAUAAGUCUCAUUUGGAAACUCUAAAUAAAGAAGAAAAGCUGUUUCUAUUAGAUCAACUUUAUAAAGAGCUUGAGAGUUAUUAUCAAAGUCUUCUUGAACGAUUUUCUCGGGCGUGAGCGGCACUUCCGUUAUAACUUUUUUAAAAAUA